UGCGGCGUCGGUCUACCGACUGCGGUACGACAGGCGCGUCUGCGGGGCUUCUCGCCGGUGCGUGUUUUCCGCCGGUACGUCGCCGUCGGUCCUAAGCGGGUCGGCGGCGCGUCGAGGCGGGCCCUCGCGGCUGUUUACUUUGAACAAAUUAGAGUGCUCAAAGCGGGCUAAUAUUUGCCUGAAUAUUGUGCGCAUGGAAUAAUAGAAUAGGACCUCGGUUCUGUUUUGUUGGCUUUCUGAUACCAGAGGUAAUGAUUAAUAGGGACAACUGGGGGCAUUCGUAUUGCGACGUUAGAGGUGAAAUUCUUGGAUCGUCGCAAGACGGACUAAAGCGAAAGCAUUUGCCAAAGGUGUUUUCAUUAAUCAAGAACGAAAGUUAGAGGUUCGAAGGCGAUUAGAUACCGCUGUAGUUCUAACCAUAAAUGAUGCCAGCCAGCGAUCCGCCGAAGUUUUUAUGUUGAUUCGGUGGGCAGCUCCCGGGAAACCAAAGCUUUC
This 495-nucleotide ribosomal RNA is filed under the name Homoplectra doringa. RNAcentral's name for it is "SSU rRNA". It matches the Rfam family "Eukaryotic small subunit ribosomal RNA", at positions 726 to 1108 of the family's 1831-position model. Lineage: Eukaryota; Metazoa; Arthropoda; Insecta; Trichoptera; Hydropsychidae. The record is from RNAcentral.